UACAGAGGGGGCAAGCGUUGUUCGGAAUUACUGGGCGUAAAGGGCGCGUAGGCGGCCCGCUAAGUCGAACGUGAAAUCCCCAGGCUUAACCUGGGAACUGCGUCCGGUACUGGCAGGCUUGAAUCCGGGAGAGGGAUGUGGAAUUCCAGGUGUAGCGGUGAAAUGCGUAGAUAUCUGGAGGAACACCGGUGGCGAAGGCGGCAUCCUGGACCGGCAUUGACGCUGAGGCGCGAAAGCUAGGGGAGCAAACGGG
Molecule: ribosomal RNA, 253 nt
Filed under: uncultured bacterium
Lineage: Bacteria
Description: partial 16S ribosomal RNA
Rfam family: Bacterial small subunit ribosomal RNA
Source: RNAcentral